Molecule: ribosomal RNA, 460 nt
Filed under: uncultured bacterium
Lineage: Bacteria
Description: partial 16S ribosomal RNA
Rfam family: Bacterial small subunit ribosomal RNA
Source: RNAcentral
CCUACGGGGGGCUGCAGUGAGGAAUAUUUCUCAAUGGACGAGAGCCUGAUCCAGCCACGUCGCGUGAAUGAUGACUGCCCUCUGGGUUGUAAACUUCUUUUAUAGGGGAAUAAAAUGUUGCACGUGUGGGAUUUUGUAUGUACCAUAUGAAUAAGGAUCGGCUAACUCCGUGCCAGCAGCGGCGGUAAUACGGAGGAUCCGAGCGUUAUCCGGAUUUAUUGGGUUUAAAGGGAGCGGAGGGGGGGUUUUAAGUCAGUUGUGAAAGUUUGCGGCUCAACCGUAAAAUUGCAGUUGAAACUGGCAGUCUUGAGUACAGUAGAGGUGGGCGGAAUUCGUGGUGUAGCGGUGAAAUGCUUAGAUAUCACGAAGAACUCCGAUGGCGAAGGCAGCUCACUGGACUGCAACUGACACUGAGGCUCGAAAGUGUGGGUAUCAAACAGGAUUAGAUACCCUUGUAGUC